RNAcentral lists this ribosomal RNA (452 nucleotides) under uncultured bacterium. RNAcentral describes it as "bacterial SSU rRNA". It matches the Rfam family "Bacterial small subunit ribosomal RNA", at positions 29 to 524 of the family's 1533-position model. The record is from RNAcentral.
AACGAACGCUGGCGGCAGGCCUAACACAUGCAAGUCGAACGCCCUAGCAAUAGGGAGUGGCGCACGGGUGCGUAACGCGUGGGAAUAUGCCCUUGACUACGGAACAACACAGGGAAACUUGUGCUAAUACCGUAUAAUGUCUCCGGACCAAAGAUUUAUCGGUCAAGGAUUAGCCCGCGUUAGAUUAGCUAGUUGGUGAGGUAAUGGCUCACCAAGGCUACGAUCUAUAGCUGGUCUGAGAGGAUGAUCAGCCACACUGGGACUGAGACACGGCCCAGACUCCUACGGGAGGCAGCAGUGAGGAAUAUUGGACAAUGGGGGGCAACCCUGAUCCAGCCAUGCCGCGUGAGUGAUGAAGGCCUUCGGGUUGUAAAACUCUUUUAGAUGUGACGAUGAUGACGGUAACAUCAGAAAAAGACUCCGGCUAACUUCGUGCCAGCAGCCGCGGUAAU